UUACUACAAUAUUCCAUUUUAAUGUAAUGAAGUAAAUAAUACCGAUUAUAUUUGCAUGAGUCUUUUAAUUAAAUGAAUAUAUUUCAUUUUUAUUCACAUUAUUAAAAGAGUAGGAUAUUUGUGGAACUCAAUUUAACAGUUCAUGGAAAUAAUAUUUAAGGUGUGUGUGUGUUGGAGAGAGAGAGUAUGUGUGUGUGUGUGUGUGAGAGAGAGAGAGACUGUGUGUGUGUGUGUGUGUGAGAGAGAGAGAGAAAGUAUAUGUGUAUGCAGUGGUGGAUUUAGGCAUAGGUGACAUGGGCAGCCGCCCAGGGUGGUAUCUUGCCGGGGGCGGCAUGGGGGCAAAAAAAUAUUCCGAAUGGUGACAUUUGUGCGAUCGGAUUUCUAUCACUCAUUUGAACGUCACGUCAAUGAUAUCAUGUCACCGUGUGGGACUGUGGGUCAAUUAACCUUGUCGGAGUGGGGGCCCUGAUGCUAGUUUGUGAGCUUGGCAGGCUACUGCCUGGGAAGGUCUCCCACUCAGAAGUACGAGAUGGAAGGGGGCGGGGGUAGGUUGACCUCAGGUCUCCCCACUAGAAGCCAGAGGUAGGGGAAGCGGGGGUAGGUUGACCUCAGGUCUCCCCACUAGAAGCCAGAGGUAGGGGGGGCGGGGGUAGGUUGACCUCAGGUCUCCCCACUAGAAGCCAGAGGUAGGGAGGGGCGAGGGUAGGUUGACCUCAGGUCUCCCCACUGGAAGCCAGAGGUAGGGGGAUGGGGGUAGGUUGACCUCAGGUCUCCCCACUGGAAGACAGAGGUAGGGGGAGCAGGGGUAGGUUGACCUCAGGUCUCCCCACUGGAAGCCAGAGGUAGGGGGAGCGGGGGUAGGUUGACCUCAGGUCUCCCCACUGGAAGCCAGAGGUAGGGGGAUGGGGGUAGGUUGACCUCAGGUCUCCCCACUAGAAGCCAGAGGUAGGGCUAGCGGGGGUAUGUUGACCUCAGGUCUCCCCACUGGAAGCCAGAGGUAGGGGGAGCGGGGGUAUGUUGACCUCAGGUCUCCCCACUAGAAGCCAGAGGUAGGGGGAGCGAGGGUAGGUUGACCUCAGGUCUCCCCACUAGAAGCCAGAGGUAGGGGGAGCGGGGGUAGGUUGACCUCAGGUCUCCCCACUGGAAGCCAGAGGUAGGGGGAGCGGGUAUAGGUUGACCUCAGGUCUCCCCACUGGAAGCCAGAGGUAGGGGGAGCGGGGAUAGGUUGACCUCAGGUCUCCCCACUAGAAGACAGAGGUAGGGGGAGCGGGGGUAGGUUGACCUCAGGUCUCCCCACUAGAAGCCAGAGGUAGGGGGAGUGGGGGUAUGUUGACCUCAG
This 1339-nucleotide long non-coding RNA is filed under the name Salmo salar (Atlantic salmon). Its description in RNAcentral is "lncRNA (ENSSSAG00000113157.1)". Lineage: Eukaryota; Metazoa; Chordata; Actinopteri; Salmoniformes; Salmonidae. The record is from RNAcentral.